AACGUAGGAGGCGAGCGUUAUCCGGAUUCACUGGGCGUAAAGCGCGCGUAGGCGGUUGAUCAAGUCGGACGUGAAAGCCCCUGGCUCAACUGGGGGAGGUCGUUCGAUACUGGUCGGCUUGAGGGUGAGAGGGGAAAGUGGAAUUCCCGGUGUAGCGGUGGAAUGCGUAGAGAUCGGGAGGAACACCAGUGGCGAAGGCGGCUUUCUGGCUCACCCCUGACGCUGAGAGCGCGAAAGCGUGGGGAGCAAACGGG
RNAcentral lists this ribosomal RNA (254 nucleotides) under uncultured bacterium. Its description in RNAcentral is "partial 16S ribosomal RNA". It matches the Rfam family "Bacterial small subunit ribosomal RNA", at positions 524 to 776 of the family's 1533-position model. The record is from RNAcentral.